Long non-coding RNA from Aquila chrysaetos chrysaetos, 351 nucleotides. RefSeq lists it as uncharacterized. Lineage: Eukaryota; Metazoa; Chordata; Aves; Accipitriformes; Accipitridae. The transcript is spliced from 3 exons. The record is from RefSeq and is a predicted model, not a curated record.
UCACAGGGCACUGCCCAGCCCGACAGCCAAGAUGGCGGCACCUCUGGGGAAACGUUCUCCAGAAAAUGCCACACAGGCAGCCAGGAGCGAGGGACAGGGUAUUUGCUGUACGUGUUUUUGUGGCCAACAUGGACAAUUUCCUUGUGUGUUUUUCUCUCUCCAGCGCACUCGGAUUUCUCCACAUUUCUGCGUCUCAAGUGCCACAGGAAUCUUGCUUUAACUGAUGUAUACGCUCAACCAGAUCGUGCAUGAGAGCCAUGAAGCCUUCCUUAGAAGAAAACCUUUGAUGCCAGCCUGGUCCUUCUGAGUCAGCUCCCCAGCAUGGAAGUCCAUAGGCACAGCUAAACUCAG